This 1250-nucleotide long non-coding RNA is filed under the name Olea europaea (common olive). Its description in RNAcentral is "long non-coding RNA (OEUR_LNC012848)". Lineage: Eukaryota; Viridiplantae; Streptophyta; Magnoliopsida; Lamiales; Oleaceae. The record is from RNAcentral.
UAAUUUCUCCCAAACAAGCACUACUGAAAUUCAUACUGGAAAAUUGAUCUUGUAACAUAUACUCUGGGACUGAACUUACGAAAUGAGCUGUGGAAUGAAAUAUCCUAUAAUGAACCAUCUAUAUUAAGCAAUCAAGGGUGUAUUACUUUUAACUUUUACAGACAAAUAUAUGCGCUAAAUCAGAACAUUUCAACAGAAAAGGUGCCAAAAUAAAUAGUACAUUUUAUAUAUUAUUAGAAGAGUGAAAAGAGAAGUUUUACUAGACAUAAGAAAGAACACACGAUCUUUGUAAAAACGUAGUGAUCUGCCAAAAGAUAAGGGGCAUAUGGUCCUUAGGGUUAAUUGAUAUAAAUAGAAGAAAUGCAAGAGUAGCUAAAAUCCACCCUCAAGAUGAUGCCUCUCCCGAACAGUCGAAACAUUGCAUAAUUAGCGACGAUUCAACAUAGUGAGAGUGGCGCCAUCUUCCUUUUCCUUUUAUGGGGAUUGGGGAAGCAUGUGAACCCACACACGAGAAUCAUGUAAAUUAAUAUGGAUAAGCAAUAAAUCAACCAGAGGCUACCAUGUGCCAUAUGUUUAAGAUAUAAUUCUAUGUGAAAUAAACUCCUUCAACAUCUUUGAUGCCUGUACCAUAUGUUUGUAAGAGCCCAUAAGAAGUAUCAUCAUCCUCUAAUAGUAAUCUGGCAUUCCAUGUGUUCUGCUUUGCUUUGUCAUUUAAUUUUUAUUAUACCCAUCUCUUUCUACAUCGUACACUUAUAUGCAACUAGCCUCUUUCCUCACUCUUCCACCCAAGAAACAUACUUAUUGUAUUACAUUUUCCAUUCUCUUUAAAUAAGCAUGUGGAGGUUAUUUUCACUGGAAUGUGCAAGUUUUCUUCUUAGUUCUAGCAUACUAAUCUUUUCAUUUACGGUCAAUCUUCCUACCACUAGAUAUAUCUUAAGCAAUCAACAAUACUUUACAUUUUGGUGUCUCACUAUUCCUAAACUACUAGAGCUUCUUAGGUACCUUUUGCACGUUCUCAAAUCUUAGUUGUCAAAAGGUGUUCCCAUGUUUCUUCAUCUAAUCGUGUUAUGUUUUCUUUUAUUCAUUGAUUCUGCUUCUCAAUCUUAGACAUCAAAAUGUCUUUAUGUAGUAACUAAUUUUUACUUUGUGCUUCAUACAAAUACAAAUAAAUAAAGGCAUUAACAACAGUAGAAGAAAGUGUAAUGACCUGUGUUGUUACAAAUACAUGUUUCCUACAACAAAGAUAUGAC